GUCCCUUCAGGGACAUCCGAUAAAAUUGGAACAAUACAGAGAAAAUUAGCAUGGCCCUUGCUCAAGAAUGACACGUACAAACGGAGAAAUGAUUCAAAUUUUU
Small nuclear RNA from Lycium barbarum (goji berry), 103 nucleotides. Lineage: Eukaryota; Viridiplantae; Streptophyta; Magnoliopsida; Solanales; Solanaceae. The record is from RefSeq and is a predicted model, not a curated record.